RNAcentral lists this long non-coding RNA (949 nucleotides) under Anas platyrhynchos platyrhynchos (common mallard). RNAcentral's name for it is "lncRNA (ENSAPLG00000022199.1)". Lineage: Eukaryota; Metazoa; Chordata; Aves; Anseriformes; Anatidae. The record is from RNAcentral.
AGGCAAUGUGCAGGCGAGGGUGGGCAGCUGGGACAGAGCAGCCCAGGGCUGGCCCCUCACAGGGGAGCGGGGAGUGCUGGGGCUGGGGGUACCCUGGGCACGGGACACGGCCGGGAUGGCUGAAAAGAACAGGGAUCAAGGUGGGGAGUGAGCUGAGGGGCUGCCCCAUUCUGCACUGACACUUCUGGGACAGGGAUGUCCUCUACCCGUCCCCAUUCACUUCCACUUGUGUUUUGGUGGCACGGUGCAGAGAGCUGCACAAGUGUCUGUCCUUAAUGCUCCACAUGCUCAAGCCUUGCUCAAAUCUGGGUCUUGCUCCCUGUUAGUCUGGUCCCUCCCAGUCUGAGAGCAAGACUGUCUGUGCCCAUUCACCAGGUCAAAGAACUUUGGGGUCUAGCCAUGGAAUUAGUCAUGGAAUUUGAAGCACUCCUCUCUGAUCAUGCAUUGCUUUUGCUUUUCUUUUCCAGCGAGAAAAGAUGCAACUAUGGCGGACCAAGCUGCAGAGCUGAAGGAACAAGCUGCAGAGCUGGCAUGGAGAAGGUGUCUGCUGCCUCAUAACAGAGGUAGGUGUGCAUUGGGUUGCCCACUGAGAUGCUUCUCCUGCCCCUGCUGGGGCAUGUUCAGCAGCCAAGAGGUGCCCCAUCUCCUGCCCCGUGGGGCAGCUCCUGGCCCCGAGCUGGGGAAAGCCUGCCCAGGGCUGAGCUCUGCCCCUGAUGGCCUGGCUCCUUCUGUCCCUGCAGUGAAGGUGACCCUGGAUCCGGACACGGCUCAUCCCAUGCUUGUCCUGUCUCAGGACAACAGCAGUGUGAGAUGGGAAGACAUACCACAUCAGGUUCCUGACACACCAGAGAGAUUUCAGGAGAGUUUAUGCGUGCUGGGCCAUGAGGAGUUCAGAGAGGGCAGACACUGUUGGUUGGUGGAGGUGGAGGGGGAGUCGCUAAAGUAUUCU